UGCGGAAGGAUCAUUGUCGAACCU
This 24-nucleotide ribosomal RNA is filed under the name Urtica dioica var. elegans. RNAcentral's name for it is "partial 18S ribosomal RNA". The record is from RNAcentral. Lineage: Eukaryota; Viridiplantae; Streptophyta; Magnoliopsida; Rosales; Urticaceae.